Long non-coding RNA from Xyrauchen texanus (razorback sucker), 3031 nucleotides. RefSeq lists it as uncharacterized. The record is from RefSeq and is a predicted model, not a curated record. The transcript has 5 exons. NCBI's taxonomy places the organism in Eukaryota, Metazoa, Chordata, Actinopteri, Cypriniformes, Catostomidae.
CCGAAGAACUGGAGUAAAAAAUUUUGGAACAUUGGCAGGAGCAUCAGUCUAUUUAAUGUGUCAUCUGAACUGUACCACAACCGGAUGGAGAAAGAGAAGAGUUGGAGAGAAAUGGCCAAUUCUCUUGGACAGUCAGCACUUUGUUGAUGGCUGGCCGACACCCACUCACCCUGAUCCUCUGCCAGCAUUGACAUAUGGUCGAAGUAACUUACACCAGCAAGACGUCCGCCAAAGUUGCGAACAGUGUCAGUGCCACCAAGGAAAAUACUACGAGUUGACAGCAUGCCAGACAAUUCUGAAAAUAUCAGAGUCAGGUGUGAUCUACAAGGGGUUUCCCUGGAUAUUACAAGAGAGAUGGCAACAGAAUCAUUAAUGGAGGGCACUAUGGUCACUGAAAUGGUUUUGAAUCUUUCAUGUCAGGAGAUGUACCUAAAUGGCAGGCAUUGGGAUUGACGACAAAGCCACACAUGAAGACUUGGUUUCCUGUGACUUCUGUGUUUUGGGCUGCAUCAACUGGCUCAAGCUCCAGAGUGCACAGAUGACCAACCCCAGAUGAAAGAAACAGUAGGAAGUGGAAAGAUUGAGGACUACCUACUCAAAAAGAAAAAGAAAAUGACUUUCUAAGGGAGAAAAUACAAACUCACCAGGCUCUUACCCACUAACACCAGAGACUAUAAAUAACAACAGUGUCUUUAACUUCUUCAGAUACUGCACUGGGCUCACUUACAAUGCAUUUAUCAAACUGUGCAGAUUUUUCAGACUACCAGAUAAUGAAACAGUCCCACAAACACACAUCCCCUUGACAUAUAAGAAACUGAACAGGUACAUCCACCUUAUGCCAUUACGUCAACAAUUUCUACUUGUACUUAUGAGACUAAGACAAAAACUUCGACCUGAAAGAGCUAGCUUUCAAAUUGAUAUGCAAAGUGUUAGCACUUUAUUCAGUUAAUGGAUUGACUUCAUGAAUGGCAGGCAUGAAGUCAUAUGUCUGUUUGGCCACACAGGAACAUCAUCACAGAAAACAUGCCAAACAGCUACAAAGGAGAGUUUCCAACAACUUCUGCAAUUCUUGAUUGCACAGAGAUAAAGAUAGAGAAACCCAGCACACUGUUAGUACAAAGGCAGACUUAUUCUAACUAGUCUACUAACACACUUAAGUCUCUGAUAGUCUGUGAUCCUCGUGGCUCCAUUAUGUUUGCAUCAGCACUUUACACAGGAUACAUUUUUGACAGAGAUAUUUAGACAAUGCAAAAUCAAAGAUUACUGAAAGGUCUGCUUCAGUGUGGCUACCUUAAGAGAGGUGAUGGGCUCAUGGUGGAUAAGGGGUUUCUCAUUGAGAAAGAUUUGAAAGGUCUUGGCCUUAAACUAAACAUUCCUCCAUUUGCAAAGACAAAUCUUCAAAUGCCAGUCCCAGAUGUUGAGAUAAAAAAGAAAAUAGCCAAUCACCAGGUGCAUGUAGAAAGAGCAUUAGCCAAAGUCAAAACAUUUAAGAUAGUAUCUGUUAGGAUCCCUAAUUCCAUGUUAGGAGAUAUAAAUCAGAUAUGGGUGUUUUUGUUCUAGUUUCCAGUAACACAUCAUUAAGGCAUAGGCUGCUGAAGAAAUCACAUUGGGAGAGCAAAGUGCUGCAGUUAACACCUGUGGCCGUGAUUUCUCUCUGUCUGUGUCACGAUUCACUGUUGUCUGCCCUGUGUUUUGCCUCUGUCGUCUGUUCCCCAUGGACUACACUUCCCAUAUUCCCUGCCCUCAUCACUGCCAGCUGUCUUCUAUUGUCCUCACCUGUGUUUCAUUUACUCAUUAGUCUUUUUGUAUAUAAUACCCUGUUGGUUGCUUGUUCUUUGUCCGUUGUAGAAUGUACCUGAAUGUAUUUUGCUCUUCGUGGAUGGUUUCUCCUGUUUAUGGUUUUCUUUCCCCAUCAUGGAUGUUUUAUUUGUUCCUGUGUUUACCCAUUAUUUUGUACUUGUUUGUUUCUGUUCAUUAAACUCUUUUGCCGCACCUAGAUCCAGCUCCUGAACUUCCUUCCUAUUAGUUACAGAACAACUGACCAAAAAUGGAUCUAGCGGCGUACUUCACAGAACUAAGCCAGGCGGGUUUGACAAUUCGGGAGUUCUCCCAUUUCUUCUCCACCGUAGCCAUCCACACCGGUCUUGAUGACACUACCCUGAAGGAAGUCUAUCGGAUCGGACUACCAACACGCCUGUGGAGGGAAUUGCUGAAGACCGGAGAUUAUACAUGGAGGGAGUAUGUGGGGCUAGUUUUGGAGACAAUCGCUGCAGAGGAACCACCUCUCUCAAUCCCGGUUUCAGCUUCUGAGCAUUCCACGGCCAACGAGCCGCCUGCCACGGCCAACGAGCCAACGCCCACGCCUGCCACGGCCAACGAGGGCCUCCUGAGCCUCCCACGGCUCCGCCUCCCUCGACUCUGUCUCCUGAGCCUUCCAUGGCUCCGCCUUCCCCGCCUCCGCCACCUGAGUCUUCCAUGGCUCUGCCCGCGGAGUCCUCCAUGGCUCCGCCUUCCACGGCUCCGCCCUCGGAGUUCUCCAUGGCUGUGGUCCUAUGGCCGCCUCCUGACCCAGUCCCUGUCUUGUGGCUUCCACCCAGGCCCCCUGUCCCAGUCCCCGUCCUGUGGCCGCCUCCCAGGCCUCCAGACCCAGUCCCCACCUUGAGGUCAUCCCCUUGGUCUCCAGGCCGUCCCCCAGAUCUGCUUGGGUCCCCUUGGUCUUCUGGCCACCCACCUGAUCUGCUAUGUUCUCCCUCACCUUGCCUUGUUCCUCUGCUCCCCUCGUGGCCCCUUGAACUGCCUGAUUGCCCCUGGUACCCCCUUGAACUGCCUGUUUUCCCUUUUUGUCCCCCACACCCCAUGGACAAUUUUUAGGUUUUUGUCUGUUUUUGGGAGCGUCUAGAAUCCGCUCCUUAGAGGGGUGGCUAUGUCACAAUUCACUGUUUUCUGUCACACAAGUUAUUAUAAUGAAUUUGCAUUUUGUAUCCAAUUUUUAACCUUUCAAAUUCUUGUUAUAUUUGUAAAAAGCUGUGGC